This 3013-nucleotide ribosomal RNA is filed under the name Salmonella enterica subsp. enterica. RNAcentral describes it as "23S ribosomal RNA". It matches the Rfam family "Bacterial large subunit ribosomal RNA". RNAcentral also lists the same sequence under 1 other name. Lineage: Bacteria; Pseudomonadati; Pseudomonadota; Gammaproteobacteria; Enterobacterales; Enterobacteriaceae. The record is from RNAcentral.
GGGUUGUGAGGUUAAGCGACUAAGCGUACACGGUGGAUGCCCUGGCAGUCAGAGGCGAUGAAGGACGUGCUAAUCUGCGAUAAGCGCCGGUAAGGUGAUAUGAACCGUUAUAACCGGCGAUUUCCGAAUGGGGAAACCCAGUGUGAUUCGUCACACUAUCAUUAACUGAAUCCAUAGGUUAAUGAGGCGAACCGGGGGAACUGAAACAUCUAAGUACCCCGAGGAAAAGAAAUCAACCGAGAUUCCCCCAGUAGCGGCGAGCGAACGGGGAGGAGCCCAGAGCCUGAAUCAGCAUGUGUGUUAGUGGAAGCGUCUGGAAAGGUGCGCGAUACAGGGUGACAGCCCCGUACACAAAAGCGCAUGUGCUGUGAGCUCGAUGAGUAGGGCGGGACACGUGGUAUCCUGUCUGAAUAUGGGGGGACCAUCCUCCAAGGCUAAAUACUCCUGACUGACCGAUAGUGAACCAGUACCGUGAGGGAAAGGCGAAAAGAACCCCGGCGAGGGGAGUGAAAAAGAACCUGAAACCGUGUACGUACAAGCAGUGGGAGCACAGGUUUACCUGUGUGACUGCGUACCUUUUGUAUAAUGGGUCAGCGACUUAUAUUCUGUAGCAAGGUUAACCGAAUAGGGGAGCCGGAGGGAAACCGAGUCUUAAUUGGGCGUUAAGUUGCAGGGUAUAGACCCGAAACCCGGUGAUCUAGCCAUGGGCAGGUUGAAGGUUGGGUAACACUAACUGGAGGACCGAACCGACUAAUGUUGAAAAAUUAGCGGAUGACCUGUGGCUGGGGGUGAAAGGCCAAUCAAACCGGGAGAUAGCUGGUUCUCCCCGAAAGCUAUUUAGGUAGCGCCUCGUGAAUUCAUCUCCGGGGGUAGAGCACUGUUUCGGCUAGGGGGCCAUCCCGGCUUACCAACCCGAUGCAAACUGCGAAUACCGGAGAAUGUUAUCACGGGAGACACACGGCGGGUGCUAACGUCCGUCGUGAAGAGGGAAACAACCCAGACCGCCAGCUAAGGUCCCAAAGUCAUGGUUAAGUGGGAAACGAUGUGGGAAGGCCCAGACAGCCAGGAUGUUGGCUUAGAAGCAGCCAUCAUUUAAAGAAAGCGUAAUAGCUCACUGGUCGAGUCGGCCUGCGCGGAAGAUGUAACGGGGCUAAACCAUGCACCGAAGCUGCGGCAGCGAACGUAUCACCCAAGACAACUUUACGGAGUUGACGAUUGACGGAGCGAAGCGACGUCAAAGCGUUCAUUAAAGUCGAGUUGGCUUAGGGAUACGUUCGUUGGGUAGGGGAGCGUUCUGUAAGCCUGUGAAGGUGUGUCGUGAGGCAUGCUGGAGGUAUCAGAAGUGCGAAUGCUGACAUAAGUAACGAUAAAGCGGGUGAAAAGCCCGCUCGCCGGAAGACCAAGGGUUCCUGUCCAACGUUAAUCGGGGCAGGGUGAGUCGACCCCUAAGGCGAGGCCGAAAGGCGUAGUCGAUGGGAAACGGGUUAAUAUUCCCGUACUUGGUGUUACUGCGAAGGGGGGACGGAGAAGGCUAUGUUGGCCGGGCGACGGUUGUCCCGGUUUAAGCGUGUAGGUGUGUGUUCCAGGUAAAUCCGGUUCACUUUAACACUGAGGCGUGACGACGAGGCACUACGGUGCUGAAGCAACAAAUGCCCUGCUUCCAGGAAAAGCCUCUAAGCAUCAGGUAACACGAAAUCGUACCCCAAACCGACACAGGUGGUCAGGUAGAGAAUACCAAGGCGCUUGAGAGAACUCGGGUGAAGGAACUAGGCAAAAUGGUGCCGUAACUUCGGGAGAAGGCACGCUGACACGUAGGUGAAGUGAUUUACUCAUGGAGCUGAAGUCAGUCGAAGAUACCAGCUGGCUGCAACUGUUUAUUAAAAACACAGCACUGUGCAAACACGAAAGUGGACGUAUACGGUGUGACGCCUGCCCGGUGCCGGAAGGUUAAUUGAUGGGGUCAGCGCAAGCGAAGCUCCUGAUCGAAGCCCCGGUAAACGGCGGCCGUAACUAUAACGGUCCUAAGGUAGCGAAAUUCCUUGUCGGGUAAGUUCCGACCUGCACGAAUGGCGUAAUGAUGGCCAGGCUGUCUCCACCCGAGACUCAGUGAAAUUGAACUCGCUGUGAAGAUGCAGUGUACCCGCGGCAAGACGGAAAGACCCCGUGAACCUUUACUAUAGCUUGACACUGAACAUUGAGCCUUGAUGUGUAGGAUAGGUGGGAGGCUUUGAAGUGUGGACGCCAGUCUGCAUGGAGCCGACCUUGAAAUACCACCCUUUAAUGUUUGAUGUUCUAACGUGGACCCGUAAUCCGGGUUGCGGACAGUGUCUGGUGGGUAGUUUGACUGGGGCGGUCUCCUCCUAAAGAGUAACGGAGGAGCACGAAGGUUGGCUAAUCCUGGUCGGACAUCAGGAGGUUAGUGCAAUGGCAUAAGCCAGCUUGACUGCGAGCGUGACGGCGCGAGCAGGUGCGAAAGCAGGUCAUAGUGAUCCGGUGGUUCUGAAUGGAAGGGCCAUCGCUCAACGGAUAAAAGGUACUCCGGGGAUAACAGGCUGAUACCGCCCAAGAGUUCAUAUCGACGGCGGUGUUUGGCACCUCGAUGUCGGCUCAUCACAUCCUGGGGCUGAAGUAGGUCCCAAGGGUAUGGCUGUUCGCCAUUUAAAGUGGUACGCGAGCUGGGUUUAGAACGUCGUGAGACAGUUCGGUCCCUAUCUGCCGUGGGCGCUGGAGAACUGAGGGGGGCUGCUCCUAGUACGAGAGGACCGGAGUGGACGCAUCACUGGUGUUCGGGUUGUCAUGCCAAUGGCACUGCCCGGUAGCUAAAUGCGGAAGAGAUAAGUGCUGAAAGCAUCUAAGCACGAAACUUGCCCCGAGAUGAGUUCUCCCUGAGACUUAGAGUCUCCUGAAGGAACGUUGAAGACGACGACGUUGAUAGGCCGGGUGUGUAAGCGCAGCGAUGCGUUGAGCUAACCGGUACUAAUGAACCGUGAGGCUUAACCUUACAACGCCGAAG